AAAGAAUGUUGGAAGCUGUGGUUUCAUGAGC
RNAcentral lists this non-coding RNA (31 nucleotides) under Rattus norvegicus (Norway rat). Lineage: Eukaryota; Metazoa; Chordata; Mammalia; Rodentia; Muridae. The record is from RNAcentral.